CUACACAUGGUGGAAACUGCAUCUUGCCCUGCUGCUAAGAUUAAUGCUUCAGAAGUCUGUGGAGACAUAGAGAGGUAUUUCUAAAGAUGGAUGUCAAAACAUCACCAAACCUCACCCAUAUUGUAUGCGACAAUCUCCAGAACCUGACUGAAGUGAACAGCACUUUCAUCGUUGGC
Non-coding RNA from Podarcis muralis (Common wall lizard), 176 nucleotides. The record is from RefSeq and is a predicted model, not a curated record. NCBI's taxonomy places the organism in Eukaryota, Metazoa, Chordata, Lepidosauria, Squamata, Lacertidae.